CCUUAAAGAACCUGCCUUUGCAGUGCUCACACAGAUUGUCUGAUGAAAAACAGCAGUAAAAACCUCUACAGGCUUGUAGCUCAGGUGGUUAGAGCGCACCCCUGAUAAGGGUGAGGUCGGUGGUUCAAGUCCACUCAGGCCUACCAAAUUUGCGAAGCAAAUUUGAAGAGGUUGUAAACGAUGGGGCUAUAGCUCAGCUGGGAGAGCGCCUGCUUUGCACGCAGGAGGUCUGCGGUUCGAUCCCGCAUAGCUCCACCAUCUUUACUGCGAACACAAGAAAACUUCAGAGUGAACCUGAAAAGGUGCACUGCGAAGUUUUGCUCUUUAAAAAUCUGGAUCAAGCUGAAAAUUGAAACGACACACUGUUUAAGUGUGUUCGAGUCUCUCAAAUUUUCGCAAUCAGAAGUGAAACAUCUUCGGGUUGUGA
RNAcentral lists this unclassified non-coding RNA (427 nucleotides) under Klebsiella pneumoniae subsp. pneumoniae. RNAcentral describes it as "partial 16S-23S ribosomal RNA intergenic spacer". The stretch from base 323 to 420 matches the Rfam family "Salmonella enterica Typhi npcRNA 44". The record is from RNAcentral. Lineage: Bacteria; Pseudomonadati; Pseudomonadota; Gammaproteobacteria; Enterobacterales; Enterobacteriaceae.